This 484-nucleotide ribosomal RNA is filed under the name uncultured bacterium. Its description in RNAcentral is "partial 16S ribosomal RNA". It matches the Rfam family "Bacterial small subunit ribosomal RNA", at positions 28 to 507 of the family's 1533-position model. The record is from RNAcentral.
AUUGAACGCUGGCGGCAUGCUUUACACAUGCAAGUCGAACGGCAGCGCGGGCUUCGGCCUGGCGGCGAGUGGCGAACGGGUGAGUAAUGCAUCGGAACGUGCCCAGUAGUGGGGGAUAGCCCGGCGAAAGCCGGAUUAAUACCGCAUACGACCUGAGGGUGAAAGCGGGGGACCGAAAGGCCUCGCGCUAUUGGAGCGGCCGAUGUCGGAUUAGCUAGUUGGUGGGGUAAAGGCUUACCAAGGCGACGAUCCGUAGCUGGUCUGAGAGGACGACCAGCCACCCUGGGACUGAGACACGGCCCAGACUCCUGCGGGAGGCAGCAGUGGGGAAUUUUGGACAAUGGGGGCAACCCUGAUCCAGCCAUGCCGCGUGCGGGAAGAAGGCCUUCGGGUUGUAAACCGCUUUUGUUCGGGAAGAAAUCCUCUGGGCUAAUACCCCGGGGGGAUGACGGUACCGGAAGAAUAAGCACCGGCUAACUACGUG